UUUUUUCCUAUUUUUGCUCUUCCGUCCUACCAAUAAUGGCGUCAUGGGAUCGGCCAGGGAGCCGCUCUCCCGGAAGGCCGUCUUGCCUUCGCGAGCGACCCUCCCUCUUUCCAAGUGCUACGAUCUCUGGAGAUGAAAAAACGUGACCCCAAAUUUUACUUUCCUCCUUAGAGCUUCGAGUUCGGCCCAUGUCGAGAAAUCGCGAUGGUUUCUGAAUGUGGGUUUCUCCGGUUGAGGAUUAAAAACAGCGCGGCUGAGACGAGAAGUACCGGCGUGAGGAAAAGCGCUCGUCCCUACCGAUCUGAGCAUCGCAGUACCCGAAGGAACAUGUGCUCGAGUAGCUAAUCACCUGAUAUCGGGUUUGGCGUGGAAGCAUUAGAUCGACGUCGGUGUGGGCGUGAUCGAUGCGGACUACAGAGGCCCGGUUGGGGUGAUCCUGUUCAAUUACUCGGACGUCGACUUUGAAGCGAAGCUAGUUUCAUUAUGCAGCUAUAUGUCAAAAUUGAGAGAGUGCGGUUGAUAAAGAAACUGGCAAAAAGCAAAGGAAGAAGGUCUUAUAGCAGAAGCUGCUGAUUUAAUACAAGAAAUUGCAGGAGCUAGAAGUUGAAUUCUGGUGUCUUUGAUCUUGUAAUUGGUUUUCCCUUGUCCAAUAUUAUGAGUGGUCUGAAUUGCUGUGGAAAAUUUUGGAGCAUUGGCAAAUACAGAGAAAAUCGCCUUUAUCCUUGAACAUGUACUGGAUUUUUGUAUUGCUUUUAGCCGUUUAUGCUCUCUUACUAUGAUCAGUUUUCUGAUGGAUGGUUUUGCAGGUUCUUUUAAGCUUAGAUUGCCAGGACUAUGUCCAGGCACAGAUCCAAAAAAUUAGCCCCCGGUGUUUGAUGCGGAUCCUUCCAAAGAGAAGAAAAAGCCUAAAGAAGGGGAAAGUAUUCUGGAAGAAGUGCCAGCUGAUAUGCCGUCACUUCUGGAGCUGAAACGGAUAUAAUAAGAACCCAUGAUAUGUGGUUUGCUAUAUGGCGAUUUAUGAGAUUCCAUCAGCAAAGGGGAAACCCAGAGCUGUGGAUACCAGUAAAGCUCUUUCAUAUGAGGCUUUGUCAAGUCUUCACUGAUUUUUUCAAGGCACAGCUAUUCAUUCCGUGAUUUAAUUAGUCGCAGGUUCUAAGGAAAAUCUGCUGGUGUUUAGUUCAGUUGCCACAUGAUUGGUUGCAGUCAAGCCUUUGUGAUACUUUAGAAGAUAUAAAUAUCUCAGAAAUUCCGCAAAUCAGCUGAAACAAUUGGUCGCAAUGGAGGUCUGCUCUUUGGAGUAAUUUCAGAGAUAAAUUUGAGAAUGAGAAAACCAUGCUCAAAGGUGCACUUGUUAAGAAGGCAGCAAAAGAUCAUAGACAGAGAAUAAGCAAACAUGUAAUUACAGAACUUUGUCGUUUUUUUCCCUUGCUUUCUUUGGAUCAUCAUGCUGAUGCGACUUACUCUAUUUUCUGCAGAAUUUUAUUGUUGUUUUGAAGUAUUACUUGAGGAUUACCUUGAGGAAACUUGCAUAGCUGUUAUGCCUCAGCAUCUAGGAAGCUGAAAAGCAUCUCAUCAAAAUGGUUAUUUCCAAGUCCCUACUGGGAAAGAUAGACCUGCCGAUGGGUGCUGUCUGUUUCCAGACAACAAAGGAGAGCAAUGACAUCUUGAACUCAUGGGCUACAAAUUUGGAAAAGCUCUUUGAUCCUGUUGAGGAAAGCUGCCACCAAGUCCACAAGCAAACUAUGGUUCAUAUGGCUGCUUUGCAAGAUGUUCUUAGUUGAAUGAAUGACCUCUCUUCCCAUGAGCCUCCCCCUCUCUUACCAAAAGAGAGAAGCUGAAGAGUGCGGUUUCACAUUGUCCUCUGAAGUGGGGACUAAAGAUAUCAUAGAACUCUCGUGUAGCUCUCUUAAAUUUGAUAGCAUAUUUUGCAGGUGGACCAGAUCUGGGCCUUGUUUUGGACUGAAAUGAUGCAGAAUACACUUUC
Long non-coding RNA from Eucalyptus grandis, 1984 nucleotides. RefSeq lists it as uncharacterized. The transcript has 6 exons. The record is from RefSeq and is a predicted model, not a curated record. NCBI's taxonomy places the organism in Eukaryota, Viridiplantae, Streptophyta, Magnoliopsida, Myrtales, Myrtaceae.